CCUUAUUUUGACUUGAGGGCCUUGACAGGGAUAGAAGCGCAUCUCGUUGUUUUGCAAGAAUGGAUAUCGUUAGAAGUACAUGUACAUAACAGAUGAGUAUAUGGAAUUGGCUUACACUCACCACAAGCUACAUCAAGUUCACAUCAAUAAAACAAUAUACGGUCAUCAUGAAGAAGAGCAGGGUCCGACUACGGAUGAAAACAAACGAUAAAAGAACGACGUUCAUCCUUGCAAUCGCAGGCUGCCAGCCUGGAACCCAUCCUAGAUCGAAGAAGAAGAAGAAGA
RNAcentral lists this long non-coding RNA (285 nucleotides) under Hordeum vulgare. RNAcentral's name for it is "long non-coding RNA (HVUL_LNC018634)". Lineage: Eukaryota; Viridiplantae; Streptophyta; Magnoliopsida; Poales; Poaceae. The record is from RNAcentral.